CAGCAGCCGCGGGAAUACGUAGGGUGCAAGCGUUAAUCGGAAUUACUGGGCGUAAAGCGUGCGCAGGCGGUCCGCUAAGACAGAUGUGAAAUCCCCGGGCUUAACCUGGGAACUGCAUUUGUGACUGGCGGGCUAGAGUAUGGCAGAGGGGGGUAGAAUUCCACGUGUAGCAGUGAAAUGCGUAGAUAUGCGGAGGAACACCGAUGGCGAAGGCAGCCCCCUGGGCCAAUACUGACGCUCAUGCACGAAAGCGUGGGGAGCAAACAGGAUUAGAUACCCCCGUAGUCCCUGUCUCUUAUAC
This 301-nucleotide ribosomal RNA is filed under the name uncultured bacterium. Its description in RNAcentral is "partial 16S ribosomal RNA". It matches the Rfam family "Bacterial small subunit ribosomal RNA", at positions 509 to 807 of the family's 1533-position model. The record is from RNAcentral.